AUUGAACGCUGGCGGCAGGCCUAACACAUGCAAGUCGAACGGUAACAGGAAGAAGCUUGCUUCUUUGCUGACGAGUGGCGGACGGGUGAGUAAUGUCUGGGAAACUGCCUGAUGGAGGGGGAUAACUACUGGAAACGGUAGCUAAUACCGCAUAAUGUCGCAAGACCAAAGAGGGGGACCUUCGGGCCUCUUGCCAUCGGAUGUGCCCAGAUGGGAUUAGCUAGUAGGUGGGGUAACGGCUCACCUAGGCGACGAUCCCUAGCUGGUCUGAGAGGAUGACAGCCCACAGGGGAACGGAGACCGGCCCAAGAGCCCGCGGGGGGGAGGCAGUGGGGAAUAUUGAACAAGGGGCGAAAGUUGGAUGCAGUUAUCGGGGGGGAAGGAAGAGGCCUUCGGGGUUUAAAAGUCCUUCCCGGGGGGGGAAAGGGAGAAAAUUAAAUACCUUCCUUCAUGGAGGUUACCGGAGAAAGAAGCCCCGGCAAACCCCGUG
RNAcentral lists this ribosomal RNA (490 nucleotides) under uncultured bacterium. RNAcentral's name for it is "partial 16S ribosomal RNA". It matches the Rfam family "Bacterial small subunit ribosomal RNA", at positions 29 to 507 of the family's 1533-position model. The record is from RNAcentral.